GGGUCCAUAGCUCAACGGUUAGAGCAGGGGACUCAUAAUCCCUUGGUUCCUGGUUCAAAUCCAGGUGGACCCA
Molecule: non-coding RNA, 73 nt
Organism: Verrucomicrobia subdivision 6 bacterium BACL9 MAG-120924-bin69
Lineage: Bacteria; Pseudomonadati; Verrucomicrobiota; Verrucomicrobiia; Verrucomicrobiales; Verrucomicrobia subdivision 6
Source: Rfam